UAGUCCCGGAUCUUAUUGGCAACAUUGCACUGCUGUCGGAUCUCGCCCUUGUUUCCGGUGAGAGGGUUGUUCUCGGAGAGAAUGGUGAAGGCUCUCGAAAACUCCUUGAAGAAGUAGUCUUGGCUCUUGGCCAUUUUCUUGACGUAGGGUUUUGUCCUCUUGUCUGUGGCUAGCUGGUGAUCCACCAUCAUCAAACCCUUGUUGUCCAAGAUGUUUCUGUAGUAGUUAUUAUCGAAGAUCAUGGGGGUACCGCGGUCAUUUCUCACGUACUGAACGGCUUUCGGGUCGGGGAUUGCAUCAGGGCACUUCUUGAGCAUGUGAGGGACAUGGUCAGGGUUGAGCUGAGGAUCAACUUCUGGGUACAACCGGUGCACCAGCUUCACACAAUGUGUUCUUCCAACACUGUGAGCUCCUGCAAUUGGUUCCAACAUAUACGACAAAAUUAGUGUUUCUGAUAGCGUUUGAUAUAAAAAAAUUCCUGGAGAAGCAAAAUUGUAUAUGAAAGAGUUAAAGAGUGUUUUAGGGCAACAAAAUCACUUACGACUUAUGAUUCUUUGAAAAGUUCUUUUAUCACAUAGAAGCACUUCUAGCAGAAGCGUUUUCCAAAAAAGCAAAUCUCAAACAAGGCUUAGAAGUGUUUCCUUAAGAACGCUUGUUCUCGAAAUAGCACUUAUAUUUUUAUUUUAACCUUUAAACGUGCUUCUAGUAAAAGCAGCUUCUAGAGCAUAUAUACCUAGAAGGGCAACCAAACCGGGGGUGUCAAUGCCCAUGUCAGCAAACUUCUCAAGGACAACGGACAUGCUCUCAUUGUGGUCAGGAAGGUAUUGCUCAAGGAUAUCAGCUCUGCUUCUCCUUCCAUCUCUUCUUCCAGUUUUAAGAGGAAUGAAUGGGCCUCCAAGC
Molecule: long non-coding RNA, 900 nt
Filed under: Malus domestica (apple)
Lineage: Eukaryota; Viridiplantae; Streptophyta; Magnoliopsida; Rosales; Rosaceae
Description: long non-coding RNA (MDOM_LNC009768)
Source: RNAcentral